AUGCUGAAUGUUCACCUGCGAACAGUUACAAGAAUAUGGAAUCUAGCCAAACGACAACUUGCAGCAGGCCAAGAAGUUGAUGUUUCAAGCAAGAAGAACAAAAGUGGUAGGAAGAGAAAAGAACUAGAUCUGUCGAGAACAGCCACAAUCCCCUUGAACAAAAGAAGAACAAUCCAGUCUCUAGCAAGGUGUUUAGGUGUGCCCCGAUCAACCCUACAUGACAGAUUUCAAUUG
This 234-nucleotide ribosomal RNA is filed under the name Triticum aestivum (bread wheat). RNAcentral's name for it is "partial small subunit ribosomal RNA". The record is from RNAcentral. Lineage: Eukaryota; Viridiplantae; Streptophyta; Magnoliopsida; Poales; Poaceae.